RNAcentral lists this transfer RNA (108 nucleotides) under Gemmatimonadota bacterium. RNAcentral describes it as "tRNA-Arg". Lineage: Bacteria; Pseudomonadati; Gemmatimonadota. The record is from RNAcentral.
GCACCGUGUGGCGCGCAGCGGUGUGUUUGCGGCGCUUCUCCUGCUCAUAACGGAUGUUGCGCCCCGGUUUCCUAAACCGCCAGGCAAGUUCGAUUCUUGCCCGGGGCA